Molecule: ribosomal RNA, 255 nt
Filed under: uncultured bacterium
Lineage: Bacteria
Description: partial 16S ribosomal RNA
Rfam family: Bacterial small subunit ribosomal RNA
Source: RNAcentral
UACGGAGGGUGCAAGCAUUGAUCGGAAUUACUGGGCGUAAAGGGCGCGUAGGCGGCUUUGCAAGUCAGACGUGAAAUUCGCGGGGCUCAACCCCGGAGCUGCGUUUGAAACUGCAGAGCUUAGAGUACAGUUAGGGUAAACGGAAUUCCACGUGUAGCGGUGAAAUGCGUAGAUAUGUGGAAGAACACCGGUGGUGAAGACGGUUUACUGGGCUGAGACAGACGCUGAGGCGCGAAAGCAUGGGGAGCAAACAGG